Molecule: ribosomal RNA, 465 nt
Filed under: uncultured Klebsiella sp.
Lineage: Bacteria; Pseudomonadati; Pseudomonadota; Gammaproteobacteria; Enterobacterales; Enterobacteriaceae
Description: bacterial SSU rRNA
Rfam family: Bacterial small subunit ribosomal RNA
Source: RNAcentral
CCUACGGGGGGCAGCAGUGGGGAAUAUUGCACAAUGGGCGCAAGCCUGAUGCAGCCAUGCCGCGUGUGUGAAGAAGGCCUUCGGGUUGUAAAGCACUUUCAGCGGGGAGGAAGGCGGUGAGGUUAAUAACCUCAUCGAUUGACGUUACCCGCAGAAGAAGCACCGGCUAACUCCGUGCCAGCAGCCGCGGUAAUACGGAGGGUGCAAGCGUUAAUCGGAAUUACUGGGCGUAAAGCGCACGCAGGCGGUCUGUCAAGUCGGAUGUGAAAUCCCCGGGCUCAACCUGGGAACUGCAUUCGAAACUGGCAGGCUAGAGUCUUGUAGAGGGGGGUAGAAUUCCAGGUGUAGCGGUGAAAUGCGUAGAGAUCUGGAGGAAUACCGGUGGCGAAGGCGGCCCCCUGGACAGAGACUGACGCUCAGGCGCGAAAGCGUGGGGAGCAAACAGGAUUAGAUACCCUUGUAGUC